AUUGAACGCUGGCGGCAUGCCUAACACAUGCAAGUCGAACGGAGGUAGGGGCAACUCUACUUCAGUGGCGGACGGGUGAGGAAUGCGUCGGAAUCUACCCUAUGGUGGGGGAUAACACAGGGAAACUUGUGCUAAUACCGCAUGAUGUCGAGAGACCAAAGCAGGGGACCGCAAGGCCUUGCGCGAUAGGAUGAGCCGACGCCCGAUUAGCUAGUUGGUAGGGUAAUGGCCUACCAAGGCGACGAUCGGUAGCUGGUCUGAGAGGAUGAUCAGCCACACUGGGACUGAGACACGGCCCAGACUCCUACGGGAGGCAGCAGUGGGGAAUAUUGGACAAUGGGCGAAAGCCUGAUCCAGCAAUGCCGCGUGUGUGAAGAAGGCCUGCGGGUUGUAAAGCACUUUUGUUCGGGAAGAAAACGGAUCGGUUAAUACCCGGUUCGGAUGACGGUACCGAAAGAAUAAGCACCGGCUAACUUCGUGCCAGAGCCGCG
RNAcentral lists this ribosomal RNA (491 nucleotides) under uncultured bacterium. RNAcentral's name for it is "bacterial SSU rRNA". It matches the Rfam family "Bacterial small subunit ribosomal RNA", at positions 29 to 519 of the family's 1533-position model. The record is from RNAcentral.